ACGGGUGAGUAAUGUCUGGGAAACUGCCUGAUGGAGGGGGAUAACUACUGGAAACGGUAGCUAAUACCGCAUAGCGUCGCAAGACCAAAGAGGGGGACCUUCGGGCCUCUUGCCAUCGGAUGUGCCCAGAUGGGAUUAGCUAGUAGGUGGGGUAACGGCUCACCUAGGCGACGAUCCCUAGCUGGUCUGAGAGGAUGACCAGCCACACUGGAACUGAGACACGGUCCAGACUCCUACGGGAGGCAGCAUG
RNAcentral lists this ribosomal RNA (250 nucleotides) under uncultured bacterium. RNAcentral describes it as "partial 16S ribosomal RNA". It matches the Rfam family "Bacterial small subunit ribosomal RNA", at positions 102 to 353 of the family's 1533-position model. The record is from RNAcentral.